UACCUGCAGCUCGAGUGGUAACCGCUAUUAUUGGGCCUAAAGCGUCCGUAGCCGGUUUGGUAAAUAUCUGGGUAAAUCGUGAGGCUUAACUUCACGAAUUUCGGAUAGACUACCAGACUUGGGAUCGGGGGAGGUCAGAGGUACUCCAGGGGUAGCGGUGAAAUGUUGUAAUCCUUGGAGGACCACCGGUAGCGAAGGCGUCUGACUAGAACGAGUCCGACGGUGAGGGACGAAGCCCUGGGGCGCAAACCGGGAUUAGAUACCCGGGUAGUCCAGGGUGUAAACGAUGUGGGCUUUGUAUUGGAGGUCCCACGUGGGCGUCCAGUGCAGAAGAGAAGUUGUUAAGCCCACCGCCUGGGAAGUACGGUCGCAAGGCUGAACUUAAGGAAUUGGCGGGGAGCACAGCAACGGGAGGAGCGUGCGGUUU
This 427-nucleotide ribosomal RNA is filed under the name uncultured archaeon. RNAcentral's name for it is "bacterial SSU rRNA". It matches the Rfam family "Archaeal small subunit ribosomal RNA", at positions 474 to 903 of the family's 1478-position model. The record is from RNAcentral.